This 253-nucleotide ribosomal RNA is filed under the name uncultured bacterium. RNAcentral describes it as "partial 16S ribosomal RNA". It matches the Rfam family "Bacterial small subunit ribosomal RNA", at positions 524 to 776 of the family's 1533-position model. The record is from RNAcentral.
UACGUAGGGUGCAAGCGUUGCCCGGAUUCAUUGGGCGUAAAGCGCGCGCAGGCGGCUCCGCACGUCCCGCGUGAAAUCGCCCGGCUCAACCGGGCGGGGUCGCGGGCGACGGCGGGGCUCGAGCGAGGGAGGGGGCAGUGGAAUUCCCGGUGUAGUGGUGGAAUGCGUAGAUAUCGGGAGGAACACCAGUGGCGAAGGCGAUCACCUGGGGUUGUUCUGACGCUGAGGAGCGAAAGCUAGGGGAGCAAACGGG